UACGUAGGGCGCAAGCGUUGUCCGGAAUUAUUGGGCGUAAAGAGCUCGUAGGCGGUCUGUUACGUCUGCUGUGAAAACCCGGGGCUUAACCCUGGGCUUGCAGUGGAUACGGGCAGACUAGAGGCAGGUAGGGGAGAAUGGAAUUCCUGGUGUAGCGGUGAAAUGCGCAGAUAUCAGGAAGAACACCCGUGGCGAAAGCGGCUCUCUGGAACGGUACUGACGCUGAGACGCGAAAGCGUGGGGAGCGAACAGG
This 253-nucleotide ribosomal RNA is filed under the name uncultured bacterium. RNAcentral describes it as "partial 16S ribosomal RNA". It matches the Rfam family "Bacterial small subunit ribosomal RNA", at positions 524 to 776 of the family's 1533-position model. The record is from RNAcentral.